Molecule: ribosomal RNA, 253 nt
Filed under: uncultured bacterium
Lineage: Bacteria
Description: partial 16S ribosomal RNA
Rfam family: Bacterial small subunit ribosomal RNA
Source: RNAcentral
UACGUAGGGGGCAAGCGUUGUCCGGAAUCAUUGGGCGUAAAGAGCGUGUAGGCGGCCAGAUAAGUCCGCUGUGAAAUCUCGAGGCUCAACUUCGAGCUGUCGGUGGAAACUGUCUGGCUAGAGUCCGGAAGAGGAGAAUGGAAUUCCUGGUGUAGCGGUGAAAUGCGCAGAUAUCAGGAGGAACACCGAUUGCGAAGGCAGCUCGCUGGAACGUUACUGACGCUGAGACGCGAAAGCGUGGGGAGCAAACGGG